CAAGUCGAACGGGGCUAGUGCUUCGCACUAGUCUCUUUCUGGGGGUUGCUACUCUAAGGCUACCUGCUAAAGUUAUUGCUUUAAAGCAGGGUUUUAGGGGACCUUCCCCAAAAGGGGCCAGUGCGGAGCACUGGCCAGUGGCGAACGGGUGAGUAACACGUGGGUAAUCUGCCCUCGAGUGGGGAAUAAGCUCCCGAAAGGGGGUCUAAUACCGCAUGACGUUUCAUAACGAUGGUUAUGAAACCAAAGACCCAAAAGGCGCUUGAGGAGGAGCCUGCGUCCUAUCAGCUUGUUGGCAGGGUAAUGGCCUACCAAGGCUAUGACGGGUAGCCGGCCUGAGAGGGUGUCCGGCCACACUGGAACUGAGACACGGUCCAGACUCCUACGGGAGGCAGCAGGUGGGGUAAUUUUGCGCAAUGGGGGAAACCCUGACGCAGCGACGCCGCGUGGAGGAUGACGGCCUUCGGGUUGUAAACUCCUGUCAGAAGGGACGAAAUCCCGCAAGGGACUGACGGUACCUUCAGAGGAAGCCCCGGCUAACUACGUG
This 547-nucleotide ribosomal RNA is filed under the name uncultured bacterium. RNAcentral describes it as "bacterial SSU rRNA". It matches the Rfam family "Bacterial small subunit ribosomal RNA", at positions 58 to 507 of the family's 1533-position model. The record is from RNAcentral.